CUUGGUUCCUUGAACCACUGUUUACAGAGCACUCCCAAUGACCAGACACCGGUGACAAAAGGAAAAAGGAACACUUAACAUUGACUUUGACUCACAGUUUAUGGUCUUGAAGGUGGGACUUUUGGUGGCAAGGCAAUGCUUUCAGUGCCCAAGCAAAGAACCUGGCUCUCAGGAACUGGGACCACUAGCUGAGGGCUCCGUGGACCGCUGGGACUUGAGACCCUUCUCAUCUUCCCCAAGAGUCAGUGGGAUGGGGCUGCCGUCUCAGAGCUGACUCCAACAUGCCUGGCUUCUGGAAAUGUGCCUGGCUUAAGGCUGAACUGAAGGUAGGUCCCUCUUCCCUCCCCACAUCCUUUAUUUCUCUUACUUGAAAACACAUUCUGGGGGGUCGUCUAUUAAAUGCUUCCUUCCUCUCUUCUUCCUGGGUGGGGUAAAUGUACGUGGGAAAGAGAAUUCUAGAGCAGGAGUAAGGAAGCCUGGAUUUGCUGAUUCAUCUGGAUGUACAGCAGGCCGGAGGUACCCUGGAUGUACCCAGGACUAAAGAUCCCUGGAUGUGCACUUGAUUUAAGGAAACUUGCCCCUUUGCAUCGUUCUCAUGGUUUACAUGGCCUUGAAAAAGCAGAUUUGAGCAUUCUGUUUCUUACUGUGUAAAUGGCACCGCCCACCCUGCCUAACUCACUGGGUUCCUUGACACCAGAGAACCAUGAAAGUGCUUUGAAAAACAUGAGGCCUAAUGGAACGGAAGGUGGGAUUGGGAGCCACGUGGCUGAGCGGAGCUGGCAUGGGCUUGGAGUCACAGGUGGGGUGACCUGGCCCUCUGGUUUGCCUGGGACAGUCAUUGUUCACACUAGUGACCAUUCAGCUCUCAAAACUGAAAAGGAUGCGUCUAACUCACUUAUAAACCCAGUCCUUGGCAUCCUUGUCUAAUCUCGUUACAUCUUGGUUUCCUACUCUGAAAUACGCAGGUCCUAUGCGUGCAUUUAGAGACAGACUGUGAGUGUCAGAAGAGACUCCAGUGGAGAGCUCUUUGUAAAGUGGAAAUGAAAAUCACACAGAGGGUGUUGUCAUUAUCAUUAAGUCCUGGUGAUGUGAACCAGUAAGCCGUAUUUUGUGGGCACUCUAGAAUCCAGUUCUUUACCAAGGUCUGUCCCUUCCCUCUUUGGGACUCCUUUUUCCUCUGGCUGAAGAGGCCACUUGCUGUCUUUCCCUGGGUCCCAGUCAGCUUUUCUGAGAAACAGAAGAAUUGGAGUCUGAAUUUCCAAGAUGCCUCCCAGUGGUCACGUUCUGUGGUUUCAUGAUCCUGAAGAACGUUUGGCCUGCUGGUAUUGGCUGGUUGUUUUCUUAAGAACAAAGAAAGCCAGACAAACUAAACAUGAAAUACAACCCCAGCAAUGGAUUACACAGGCUUUGAAAGAGGCAUUAAGCAAGAAUGGUUAUGUCUAAUAUUGGGCCUUCUGGCCUUCCCAGGGCCUGGGAUCUGGCAUCAGAUGUCUGAACUUGAUAUACACCUGCAGGUACAGUUACGGCUGUUAAUCUGCCAAGCUCUGUUGUUCAAGCUGGCUGUUGGAAAGCAUUCAAUAAAUUUUUUUCAGAAGCCA
This is a long non-coding RNA of Callithrix jacchus (white-tufted-ear marmoset), 1598 nucleotides long. RefSeq lists it as uncharacterized. NCBI's taxonomy places the organism in Eukaryota, Metazoa, Chordata, Mammalia, Primates, Cebidae. The record is from RefSeq and is a predicted model, not a curated record.